AGGACUGUAGCUCAGUGGUAGAGCAACCAGAAGGUCCCAGGUUCAAUCCUUGACAUUUCCA
RNAcentral lists this transfer RNA (61 nucleotides) under Podarcis lilfordi (Lilford's wall lizard). RNAcentral's name for it is "tRNA.Leu". The record is from RNAcentral. Lineage: Eukaryota; Metazoa; Chordata; Lepidosauria; Squamata; Lacertidae.